This 490-nucleotide ribosomal RNA is filed under the name uncultured bacterium. Its description in RNAcentral is "partial 16S ribosomal RNA". It matches the Rfam family "Bacterial small subunit ribosomal RNA", at positions 28 to 507 of the family's 1533-position model. The record is from RNAcentral.
GAUGAACGCUAGCUACAGGCUUAACACAUGCAAGUCGCGGGGCAGCAUGGGGGUUGCUUGCAAUCCCCGAUGGCGACCGGCGCACGGGUGAGUAACGCGUAUCCAACCUGCCCUUCACCACGGGAUAACCCGGCGAAAGUCGGACUAAUACCGUAUGUUGUCCAUUGACGGCACCCGAUUUGGACGAAAGGUUUGGCGGUGAAGGAUGGGGAUGCGUCCGAUUAGCUGGACGGCGGGGUGACGGCCCACCGUGGCGACGAUCGGUAGGGGUUCUGAGAGGAAGGUCCCCCACACUGGAACUGAGACACGGUCCAGACUCCUACGGGAGGCAGCAGUGAGGAAUAGUGGGCAAUGGGCGUAAGCCUGAACCAGCCAAGUAGCGUGCAGGAUGACGGCCCUAUGGGUUGUAAACUGCUUUUAUGCGGGGAUAAAGUGGCCCACGUGUGGGUUUUUGCAGGUACCGCAUGAAUAAGGACCGGCUAAUUCCGUG